GUGGAUCCUGUGAACUGCAGGACACAUGAACACCGACAAGUUGAACGCAUAUUGCACAUCGUACAACAGUACGAUGUACACAUUUUUGAGUGCC
This 94-nucleotide ribosomal RNA is filed under the name Ochlerotatus atlanticus. RNAcentral describes it as "partial 5.8S ribosomal RNA". Lineage: Eukaryota; Metazoa; Arthropoda; Insecta; Diptera; Culicidae. RNAcentral also lists the same sequence under 1 other name. The record is from RNAcentral.